ACGAACGCUGGCGGCGUGCUUAACACAUGCAAGUCGCACGGAAAGGCCCUGCUUUUGUGGGGUGCUCGAGUGGCGAACGGGUGAGUAACACGUGGGUAACCUGCCCUUGACUUUGGGAUAACUUCAGGAAACUGGGGCUAAUACCGGAUAGGAGCUCCUGCUGCAUGGUGGGGGUUGGAAAGUUUCGGCGGUUGGGGAUGGACUCGCGGCUUAUCAGCUUGUUGGUGGGGUAGUGGCUUACCAAGGCUUUGACGGGUAGCCGGCCUGAGAGGGUGACCGGCCACAUUGGGACUGAGAUACGGCCCAGACUCCUACGGGAGGCAGCAGUGGGGAAUAUUGCACAAUGGGCGGAAGCCUGAUGCAGCAACGCCGCGUGCGGGAUGACGGCCUUCGGGUUGUAAACCGCUUUCGCCUGUGACGAAGCGUGAGUGACGGUAAUGGGUAAAGAAGCACCGGCUAACUACGUG
RNAcentral lists this ribosomal RNA (467 nucleotides) under uncultured bacterium. RNAcentral describes it as "partial 16S ribosomal RNA". It matches the Rfam family "Bacterial small subunit ribosomal RNA", at positions 29 to 507 of the family's 1533-position model. The record is from RNAcentral.